RNAcentral lists this ribosomal RNA (427 nucleotides) under uncultured prokaryote. RNAcentral's name for it is "bacterial SSU rRNA". It matches the Rfam family "Bacterial small subunit ribosomal RNA", at positions 355 to 796 of the family's 1533-position model. The record is from RNAcentral.
UUAGGAAUUUUGCGCAAUGGGGGAAACCCUGACGCAGCAACGCCGCGUGAGUGAAGAAGGCCUUCGGGUUGUAAAGCUCUUUAGACAGGGAAGAAACAAAUGACGUUACCUGUAGAAUAAGCACCGGCUAACUCCGUGCCAGCAGCCGCGGUAAUACGGAGGGUGCAAGCGUUGCUCGGAAUUACUGGGCGUAAAGCGAACGUAGGCGGUUUAGUAAGUCUGAUGUGAAAGCCCACGACUCAAUCGUGGAAGUGCAUUGGAUACUGCUAGACUAGAGUAGAGGAGAGGUGAGUGGAAUUCCAGGUGUAGAGGUGAAAUUCGUAGAUAUCUGGAGGAACAACAGAGGCGAAGGCGACUCACUGGACUCUUACUGACGCUGAGGUUCGAAAGCGUGGGGAGCGAACGGGAUUAGAUACCCCCGUAGUCC